This 460-nucleotide ribosomal RNA is filed under the name uncultured bacterium. RNAcentral's name for it is "partial 16S ribosomal RNA". It matches the Rfam family "Bacterial small subunit ribosomal RNA", at positions 338 to 795 of the family's 1533-position model. The record is from RNAcentral.
CCUACGGGAGGCAGCAGUGAGGAAUAUUGGUCAAUGGCCGAAAGGCUGAACCAGCCAAGUAGCGUGAAGGAAGAAGGACCUAUGGUUUGUAAACUUCUUUUAUAGGGGAAUAAAGGUAUCCACGUGUGGAUAUUUGCAUGUACCUUAUGAAUAAGCAUCGGCUAACUCCGUGCCAGCAGCCGCGGUAAUACGGAGGAUACGAGCGUUAUCCGGAUUUAUUGGGUUUAAAGGGUGCGUAGAUUGUUUUUUAAGUCAGCGGUGAAAGUUUGUGGCUCAACCAUAAAAUUGCCGUUGAUACUGGAAGACUUGAGUGUAGUGGAGGUAGGCGGAAUGCGUGGUGUAGCGGUGAAAUGCAUAGAUAUCACGAAGAACUCCGAUUGCGAAGGCAGCUUACUAAGCCGUAACUGACACUGAUGCACGAAAGCGUGGGGAUCAAACAGGAUUAGAUACCCUUGUAGUC